Cricetulus griseus (Chinese hamster) is the source of this 2725-nucleotide non-coding RNA. The record is from RefSeq and is a predicted model, not a curated record. Lineage: Eukaryota; Metazoa; Chordata; Mammalia; Rodentia; Cricetidae.
AAUAUAAGUCUCUGUGUAUUAUUUGGGGCCCUACCUCGGUGGACAGAACUCAGGCAGCUGGCGGAAAGUGCCCCCGUGGCGGUAGGGCUCAGGUGGCUUUUGGCGGAAAGAUUUAUGGUAACAGGUAAUGCAUUGGAGCAGUGUCUAAGAGUUUUAUGUCUUUCGAUCUGCAGUGAGCAUAGAGAGCAAGACAUUGAGCUUGGUGUGGGCUUUCCCAAACUGUUCCACUAACUGGGGAACAAGCAUCCAAACAGCUGGUGGGGGCCGUUCUCAUUCACACUGCAUACCUGGAUGUGCCUUACUACACUUGGCAGGUUGUUUCUAGGAUUCUUACCUAUGGCAGCAUGUAUCAGAGUUUCAUUCAUUUUAAAGCCGAAUAUAUCCUGUUGCAUUUUGUCUUAGUUUCUUUCCUUUUUUUGUGACAAAAUACCUUGACCAAAGCAACAAAGAGCAGAAUGACUUUAUCUGAUUGUAGGGACAUUAGUUAGCAGGAACUUGGAGUAGCUGGUCCAUAGUCAAGAGGAGGGAGGCAAUGCAUGCAUGCAGGCUAAUAUCAGCUAAGUAGCCCCAUUUCCUGCAGUCCAGGAGCCAAAGCCCACAAACAGUUACACACACAGUGGGUUGAUUUUCCUGCAUCAAUGAAGAGAAUUAAGAUAACCUCUAACACAUUCUUACAGGUCCUGAUUCUACGUUGGGUCAAAGUGACAAUUAGAAGUUAACCAUUUUCCAUUAUUUUUGUCAAUGCAAGAGUUCAAACUUCUCCACAGACUUGCCUGAAUCAAAUUCCACUCUUUCUAUUUAAAUAUUAAUUAUUGCAAUGCGUGUUUUUCUCCCAUGUAAAAGUCAUUUUUCUUUCCAAAAUAUGUUGGAAAAAUGAAUUAUCUGCUCAUUUAAGUUAUCCAGCAUUCAUCAAAAUAAAGAUUAAAGCACUAUUUAAAAAACAUUUUUUUAUUUAAAAGUUUUUUUCAUUUUACAUGCCAACCUCAGUUCCCCCUCCUUCCCAUUCUCUGUCCCCAUCUCCUCCUUUCCCACACCCUGUCCACUCUUCAGAGGGGGUAAGGCCUUUCUUGGACAGUCAACAAAGUCUGGCAUACCAACUUGAGGCAGGGCCAAGCCCCCUCCUUGUAUCAAGUCUGAGCAGGGUAUCCCACCUUAGAGAGUUGGCUACAAAAAGCCAGUUCAUGCACCUGGGAUAGGUUCUGGUCCCACAUGAUCAAGCCACAUAACUGUCACCCACAUUCAGAGGGCCUAGUUCAGUCCCAUGCAGGUUCCCCAGCUGUCAUUCCAUAGUCCAUGAGCUCUCACUAGCUUGGGUCAGCAAAAACAAACAGACAUAACACAAAAACAAAAACAAACAUUUUCUGUUUUCUAUGUAUGUUGUAACUUUAAAACAUAACCUCGGUGAGAACGGGGAGGACUACACAGUCCCAUUUUUCUUCUCCAAAAAAUACAUAAAAUUUGAUGAUACAAUGUUAUCUAUAGAGACUUAAGAGUUUCUGAAUGUAACAAAUACAAAUAAUGUUAUUUUCCUUUAUCAUUUCCCUUUUCACCUUCAUUUUUCUUACAUCCACAACCUAAUGAAGUAUCAGAGUUUACAAAAGAAACCCUGGCCAUAAAAGUGAUUCACAAGAUGUCUGCUGCCUGAUGACCCAAGUUCAGCUCCUGGAAGCCACAUGGGAGAAGGAAAGAAUCAACUUGUGUGCUUUUAACUGUUUGAAGCAAUAGACAACAUGAGCUGUGUCUGUUUCACCUGGGACGCAGUGAAGGCACGGAGAGUGACCAUUUGCUACCAGAAUUACUGGCUCAAAAAAUCAGAACGUGUUAAAUUUUGAGACUUGUCAGUAAUGUGUGACUCAUUUUCUCUGAGUCUUGGUAACACUGUGAUGUAAAAAUUAUUCAUCCAUGCUGUUUUUUGAUGACAGAGGAAAGUCAAGUUUAACUUUUGUGAGUAGGAAACUGAGAAUUUUUCAAUGUUUAGGGUGUUCUACAUUUUUGUCAGUAGCUACUGCUUUGUGUUUUUAUUGAAUUACUGGCCCUUUGUUUAUGAUUUUUAAGUACUGUUUAUUAAAUAUGGGAAUAAGAGAUUCCUCUGUUAGCUAGAUUUAUCUCUUCUCUAGUUUGUCUAUCAUCUAUCAUUAUAAAUGUGUAGUCACAUUGAUCAAUCUCUACAUGGCAUCUGGUUAGACUUUCCCCAUUUGUUAAUCAUCAUUGUUGGAUAACAUUUUUUCUAAUAUUUUUGCAGUAAUAUUUCUACUUUAGAGUCAUUUAUUUCUUGGUGUUUGGUAUAAAGAAUAAUCAACUCUAACUUUUUUUUUCUAAAUUGUUAGUCUGGUGGUCAGAAUACUAUAUGUUUAAUUCUUCCCACUUUUCUAAGGAAGUCAUUAACAGUUACACUAAUUUUUCAAAUUUUGUUCCAUCACUUGGUCUUUUACUAAUGUUAUCUAUGUAUAUUUUGGAUCUCAUAGGCCAUCUUCUUCCCAUAGAGUUAAGGAUUAGGGCUCUAAAACUACAAAGUCUGGGUUAGAAUCCUGGUUUAUCCUCAUACUGUGAGACUUUGGACAAGUAAUUUAAAUCUUUCUGUGUCUCCAUGACUUAUUGUAACUAGGAUAAUAAUUUCCCCAUAGAGAUGUCAGGAGUCAUACCUGAUAUAGUUCGUAUAGAAUGUUUAUAAUCAUGCCUGGUGAAUGGUAAAUGUUGAAUAAACAUUGUUUAUCUCUUGCAAACA